Molecule: ribosomal RNA, 563 nt
Filed under: uncultured bacterium
Lineage: Bacteria
Description: bacterial SSU rRNA
Rfam family: Bacterial small subunit ribosomal RNA
Source: RNAcentral
AACGAACGCUGGCGGCGUGGAUAAGACAUGCAAGUCGUACGCUGGUAUGCGGGUAGCAAUAUUUGCAUAUUGGAGUGGCGAACGGGUGAGUAACACGUGGGUAAUUUAUCUUUGAGUUAGGGAUAAUUCGCUGAAAGGCGGACUAAUACCGAAUGUGGAUACUGGGUGGGGACAUCUGGUUUCUAAAGUUGGGGACCGAGAGGCCUGGCGCUCACAGGUAAGCCCGCGUCCUAUCAGCUGGUUGGUGAGGUAAGAGCUUACCAAGGCUAUGACGGGUAGCUGGUCUGAGAGGACGAUCAGCCACACUGGAACUGAGACACGGUCCAGACACCUACGGGUGGCAGCAGUCGAGAAUCUUUCUCAAUGGGGGCAACCCUGAAGGAGCGACGCCGCGUGGGGGAUGAAGGGCUUCGGCUCGUAAACCCCUGUCAUUUGUGAGCACGUGUGAUUGUUUAAGAGAUGGUUACAUAGAUUGUAACAAAAGAGGAANGGACGGCUAACUCUGUGCCAGCAGCCGCGGUAUACAGANGUCCCAGCGUUGUCGGAAUCACUGGGCGUAAAGG